This 490-nucleotide ribosomal RNA is filed under the name uncultured bacterium. RNAcentral's name for it is "partial 16S ribosomal RNA". It matches the Rfam family "Bacterial small subunit ribosomal RNA", at positions 29 to 505 of the family's 1533-position model. The record is from RNAcentral.
AGUGAACGCUGGCGGUAGGCCUAACACAUGCAAGUCGAACGGCAGCACAGUAAGAGCUUGCUCUUACGGGUGGCGAGUGGCGGACGGGUGAGGAAUACAUCGGAAUCUACUUUUUCGUGGGGGAUAACGUAGGGAAACUUACGCUAAUACCGCAUACGACCUACGGGUGAAAGCAGGGGAUCUUCGGACCUUGCGCGAUUGAAUGAGCCGAUGUCGGAUUAGCUAGUUGGCGGGGUAAAGGCCCACCAAGGCGACGAUCCGUAGCUGGUCUGAGAGGAUGAUGAGCCACAAUGGAAGAGAGACAGGGCCGAGACUCAUGGGUGGGGCAGGUGUGGGAAAUUGGGGACAAGGGGCGAAAGCCUGAUACAGCUAUACCGCGUGUGUGAAAAGGGCCUUGGGUUUGUAAAGCUCUUUUGUGGGGAAAAAAAAAGUGAGGGUUAACACCCCGCUUUUCAGACGGCACCCAAAGAAUAAGCACCGGCAAACUGCG